Molecule: non-coding RNA, 787 nt
Organism: Phoenix dactylifera (date palm)
Lineage: Eukaryota; Viridiplantae; Streptophyta; Magnoliopsida; Arecales; Arecaceae
Source: RefSeq, a predicted model, not a curated record
UUGGAGGAAGCUCUACCGACAAUGGCUUGGGCUUCAAAUCCCACUUAGAGUAUGUCAACCAAGCUGCAUUGCCUUGGAGAGCUCUCGGAGGUGUCAAAAAACGAGGCCAGGAGUCAAAAUGGACAAACAAUAAGCUACCUAAGUGGAGGGUGUGAAGAGGCCCAUGUUGAUAAAGACACAAGAUCUAGUUUCAAUCCUGUCCUCGAGCUAGGUUUCCAGCUAUCCUAGUGAGAGAGAGAGAGAGAGAGAAAAGCAGCAGCUGUAGCAACGAGAAGUUCAUAUUUAUUAUAUUUUUCUCCACGUUCUUUUACAUGAUACUCUUUUAUUUGAUAUAUUGUUUGAAGUUGCAUGAGCCGUUGUCCAACUACAAGAUGGUCGCAAGGGAAUCUGCUUGGACAAUAGGGACAUAUCCACAAACCUAGUCUUAUGAUUAACUUCACCAUCAUGCAAACUCGUAGGUAUACCAAACAGCCAAUCGCUUAUAAAUAAUCUCAAUAAAAUCAAAAAGCUUUAUUAUCCAUAUCUCACUAACCUUACCAGUGCUGUUCCUUUUUUUAAAGCAAAUAACAAUGCUGAUUUCCGAGAAAAUUGUCAAUUUAUUGCUGCAGGACAUCUAUACAUAUAUAGUAAUGAUAUGCUACUCGGUUGCAAUAUGAUAUUAAAACUGUUGCAUGAGAAUGCAAUCAUAGUAGGAGAUAAAAGCCGUAUGAAUUCAACUUUUUGAUACACAAUGUGGCUAUAAUUUGUAAACAAAUAUCACAUGCACAAAAAAAAAAAAAAACUAAUU